CCUACGGGAGGCUGCAGUGAGGAAUAUUGGUCAAUGGGCGGGAGCCUGAACCAGCCAAGUCGCGUGAAGGAAGACUGCCCUAAGGGUUGUAAACUUCUUUUGUCAGGGAACAAAUGGCGAGACGUGUAGCGUUAUGAAUAUAACCUAAGAAAAAGGCUCGGCUAACCCCGUGCCAGCAGCCGCGGGAAUACGGAGGAUGCGAGCGUUAUCCGGAUUUAUUGGGUUUAAAGGGUGCGGAGGGGGGAAGUCAAGUCAGCGGUAAAAUGUCGGGGCUCAACCCCGGCCCGCCGUUGAAACUGGGUUUCUUGAGUUGGCGAGAAGUAUGCGGAAUGCGUGGUGUAGCGGUGAAAUGCAUAGAUAUCACGAAGAACUCCGAUUGCGAAGGCAGCAUACCGGCGCCCUACUGACGCUGAUGCACGAAAGCGUGGGUAUCGAACAGGAUUAGAUACCCUUGUAGUC
RNAcentral lists this ribosomal RNA (459 nucleotides) under uncultured bacterium. RNAcentral's name for it is "partial 16S ribosomal RNA". It matches the Rfam family "Bacterial small subunit ribosomal RNA", at positions 338 to 795 of the family's 1533-position model. The record is from RNAcentral.